UGAUGAAGAACGUAGCGAAAUGCGAUAAGUAGUGUGAAUUGCAGAAUUCCGUGAAUCAUCGAAUCUUUGAACGCACAUUGCGCCUUCUGGUAUUCCGGAAGGCAUGCCUGUUCGAGAGUCAUUAACAACCGUUUCGAUCCCUUUCUUUCAGAAAUUACAAAGAGGAAAAGGGUUUGGUUAUGGUGGAGGAGGGAAAGGGAGCGUUUAGCCUGUAAAAAAAGAGGCUGUGUUCCGCCUCCCCCCCAAAAUUGUACAGGCGGUCGUGUGCGCCCACGCAUCGAGGUGUUGUAAAAGCUGCCACGGCACUUUUCACCUGUGCAGUGCGAGAUUGGCCAGCCGGUUUAAAAACCCCUCCAAACAAUCAAAGGUUGACCUCGGAUCAGGUAGGGAUACCCGCUGAACUUAAGCAUAUCAAUAAGCGGAGGA
RNAcentral lists this unclassified non-coding RNA (426 nucleotides) under soil metagenome. RNAcentral's name for it is "partial contains 5.8S ribosomal RNA, internal transcribed spacer 2, and large subunit ribosomal RNA". The stretch from base 2 to 121 matches the Rfam family "5.8S ribosomal RNA", at positions 35 to 154 of the family's 154-position model. The record is from RNAcentral.